UACGAGAGGCCCAAACGUUAUUCGGAUUUACUGGGCUUAAAGAGUUCGUAGGCGGUCCGGAAAGUUGGGUGUGAAAGCCCUCGGCUCAACCGAGGAAUUGCGCUCAAAACUACCAGACUUGAGGAGGAUAGAGGUAAGCGGAACUGAUGGUGGAGCGGUGAAAUGCGUUGAUAUCAUCAGGAACACCGGAGGCGAAGGCGGCUUACUGGGUCCUUUCUGACGCUGAGGAACGAAAGCUAGGGGAGCAAACGGG
Molecule: ribosomal RNA, 253 nt
Filed under: uncultured bacterium
Lineage: Bacteria
Description: partial 16S ribosomal RNA
Rfam family: Bacterial small subunit ribosomal RNA
Source: RNAcentral